Haliotis rufescens (red abalone) is the source of this 934-nucleotide long non-coding RNA. RefSeq lists it as uncharacterized. The transcript is spliced from 2 exons. Lineage: Eukaryota; Metazoa; Mollusca; Gastropoda; Lepetellida; Haliotidae. The record is from RefSeq and is a predicted model, not a curated record.
UUGACCUUGCGACUGGUUGGAUUCGCGUCGUUGUCAGCAUGUUUAUUGUUGUAUAAUUCCUUCUGUUUACACUGGCAGCAGCAUCAACGAAGAGAGGGUACGGCGUCAACAACCACGUGUUCCUCUGUAACGACACGUACGCGUUAACGGAGUCGUCAUGGUGGUACAACUGGAGAACGAACUAUAUCGACUUUAUCCACGAGGGCUGCACUCCGAGGGGGGAGUUCGUUCCAAUGGUUUGGAGUUUCCAGAUUAACUACACCCAGCAUAUAUCUCACUCGUUUAACUACAUCCUGGGAUAUAACGAACCAAAUGAACGCGACCAAUCAAAUGUCACUCCUCAACUUGCUGCUUCUCAUUGGCCAGAAAUCGAAAAACUUGGGCAGGACAAACUGCUCGUAAGCCCCGCCCCUGCUCGAUGCAAUGGCUGGCAUCUUUGCUUCAAGGAACCCACCGAUUGGCUGGACGAGUUUUUCAAGGCAUGUAAUGGCUGCCGGGUUGACUUCCUGGCUGCGCACACAUACAAUUGUGACCCGGAUAACGACAUGCGCUAUCUGGAGUCUCUGUACAAUCGGUACGGUAAACAAAUAUGGCUGACAGAGUUUUCCUGUCCGAAGACAAUGUCUGUGCAAAAAGAACUGGAUUACAUGAAGCAGAUAGUACCUAGACUUGAAGCGGCGCCAUUCAUAUACCGGUAUGCGUGGUACAUCACCCGACAGCCUGAUACUGACUAUCUCACAUCGGCUGUCAACCUGCUGAAACCAAACAUAUCUGAGUUGACGUAUCUAGGACACGUGUACAACUCACUGCCGGGGGUGUAGAGUUUAAUAUGACCCAAAUACUGUCUAGAUUUCGUAUACAGGGUUAUGACACUAUAAUGCCUUGAUUUGAUUUUAUGAUUUCUAUGUAACAUUAAUAUAAUUCUGGAAAAAUU